GACGAACGCUGGCGGCGUGCUUAACACAUGCCAGUCGAACGGAAAGGCCCUGCUUUUGUGGGGUGCUCGAGUGGCGAACGGGUGAGUAACACGUGAGUAACCUGCCCUUGACUUUGGGAUAACUUCAGGAAACUGGGGCUAAUACCGGAUAGGAGCUCCUGCUGCAUGGUGGGGGUUGGAAAGUUUCGGCGGUUGUGGAUGGACUCGCGGCUUAUCAGCUUGUUGGUGGGGUAGUGGCUUACCAAGGCUUUGACGGGUAGCCGGCCUGAGAGGGUGACCGGCCACAUUGGGACUGAGAUACGGCCCAGACUCCUACGGGAGGCAGCAGGGGGGAAUAUUGCACAAUGGGCGGAAGCCAGAUGCAGCAACGCCGCGUGCGGGAUGACGGCCUUCGGGUUGUAAACCGCUUUCGCCUGUGACGAAGCGUGAGUGACGGUAAUGGGUAAAGAAGCACCGGCUAACUACGUG
Molecule: ribosomal RNA, 468 nt
Filed under: uncultured bacterium
Lineage: Bacteria
Description: partial 16S ribosomal RNA
Rfam family: Bacterial small subunit ribosomal RNA
Source: RNAcentral